This 88-nucleotide microRNA precursor is filed under the name Canis lupus familiaris (dog). Its description in RNAcentral is "mir-8799 microRNA precursor family". It matches the Rfam family "mir-8799 microRNA precursor family". Lineage: Eukaryota; Metazoa; Chordata; Mammalia; Carnivora; Canidae. The record is from Rfam by way of RNAcentral. RNAcentral also lists the same sequence under 1 other name.
GAGAGUGCAGGAUCCUGGGCUGUGUCCCCCCGCGCCCUGGGAUCCGGGGCCUGUGCUGCUGGAAUCGCGCUCCCGGGCCGAGGCUCGC